CAUGAAAUGAAUCAACAGUGUAAGCUUAUAAUAUUCCGUUAAUAUUCUGCAGUUGGUAUCAUAUUUUUGUGUUUGUCUGAAACAGCAGCCCGUCGCGAAGUGAGUUGAGUAAGUAUUGUCACUUGUGAUGGAAAUGUACAGGGUCAUACAUAUGUUUGUACUUAGGAUAUUUUUACUGGAUGUUGACAAAGUUCAUGCGUGUUUUUGUCCAAUAUCUCACCCACAAACAGAUUAUUGCCAUCUGAGUAGCUUUGCUCUCGUCGGGUCCGUCAGUGACUUCGUUGACAGUAAUUAUGACAGGAGAUUCAAUGUAAUAGUCCAAUUCAUGUUGAAGGUCCCAGAAGGUUAUACACACAGAAAACGCCUUAAACUGAAGACUUAUAAGGGACCUAUUCUGUGCGAGCUAAACUUAUUGCCAGGAAUUCGCUAUCUGAUAACAGGAUAUGUGAACAGUGACGACGAGUACCUAGUAAAUUCCUGUAUGUGGGCAGAAGACUGAACACGCUGACAUCAAGCGAAUACAACGGUCUCCUUGGGGACUACGACUGCAGCUGCUAUAUCAACGAGGCCUGGGGAUUAAUUCCACCAUAUGCCACACCCCGUGACGUUUGUAACUAUGACAAAACAACUUCGUGUGAGCAGGCAGCAUGCCUAAGAGGGGAACAGGGCACGUGUGAAUGGCUACUGAAGUGUUGAGUCAAACAUAGAAAGCCAUUCCCGAUUUUUUUCACAGAUGUGAAAAGAAAACAAAGGACUGGAUGACAUGUACAGGGUUAAAAAAACACCUGAUAUAUGAUAACAUUCCAAUCUUAAUAAACUAAUCUCUUUUUGGUUGCC
Molecule: unclassified non-coding RNA, 837 nt
Filed under: Mizuhopecten yessoensis (Yesso scallop)
Lineage: Eukaryota; Metazoa; Mollusca; Bivalvia; Pectinida; Pectinidae
Description: uncharacterized LOC110465174, transcript variant X3
Source: RNAcentral